CGCCGCGCCGCGCCGCGCGCGCCACUGUGCCCGCGGCCGGCAGCUCCCUCCCCUGGGCAGCUGCUGCCACCUGCUCCUCCCCUCCUCCCUCCCAAAUAAAGCGGGGUGGGGAUGCGCUGAGCCGGAUGGCCUCCCACUCGCUCUCGCUCCUCGUCACGCGCGCGCGCUCCGCCACCUCCUCCUCCCGCGCCGCCUCGCCGCCGCCGCCCCGCCCCACCGAGGCCUCUCCUCCUCCUCCUCCUACUCCGCCUUCGCCUACGCCUCCCGGGCGCGAUCCCUCGGCGUCCGCCCGGCUCGCCCCCGCGCCGCGCUCCACGGCACCGGAGGUGCAGGGAGAGGACGGAUAGGCGAGCUAGGCCGCAGAGCCAUGUCAGGUUCGACGAAUUCAACAGUGGCCGCGGAGUUGGCUGUGGCUGAGAGGAACAUCGAGCGAUUACCUUUUGUGAAUGACAAGCACGGAGGUGUUAUUAUUGAGAUGGUGGCUCCGAUGGAUCCUGGAGUGUUUUCAGCUUCACUGAAAGCAGCAUUGGCGAAAUGGAGGGAGCAGGGAAUAAGAGGUGUCUGGAUCAAAUUGCCUAUUACCCUUUCCAACCUUAUUACACCAGCUGUGGAGGAAGGUUUCUGGUACCAUCAUGCAGAGGAAACAUACUUGAUGCUUGCGUACUGGCUUCCAGAAACAACACAUACGCUACCAGUAAAUGCAACCCACCGUGUCAGUAUUGGAGCUUUUAUAAUGAAUGACAAAAGAGAGGUCUUGGCUGUACAAGAAAAGAGUGGUGUACUUCGAGGCCUUGGUGUAUGGAAAUUUCCAACUGGAGUAGUUGAACCAGGGGAAGAUAUAAAUGUUGGUGCUGUAAGAGAAGUAAAAGAAGAAACAGGGAUUGAUGCAGAAUUUGUUGAAGUGCUUGCCUUUAGGCAGAGCCACAAAGCCUUUUUUGAUAAAUCGGAUCUAUUUUUUGUAUGCCUGCUACGACCACUUUCAUUUGACAUUACUAAGCAAGACUCAGAAAUAGAGGCAUGCCAGUGGGUGCCAGUGGAGGAAUUUGCAGCGCAGCCAUUUGUCCAGAAACACGAAUUCGUGAAGUACAUCCUCAAAGUGGGUUUAGCUAAAGUGGACAAGGAAUAUGCAGGGUUUUCGCCGAUCUCCGUAAAAUCGGCAUUCACAGAUAAACUGUCCUCCUUUUACAUGAACAGGAGGGACCUCGACAGGGCUUCAGGAUCAAGCAGUCAGUAAUACACAUGAAUUCAAGAUAGUUGAAAACUUGAAAUUUCGCUUUGGUCUGUGAAAAGGGUCUGAAACUUUGAAUCAUUACUUGAUUGUUUUGUUCACCAAUUGGUAGGGACCUUCGGCACUUGAUUUUGAGCGUAUGUUGCCUGCCGCUUGUGUCUGUAAUUCAAAGGAGAUAUAGGAACCCAAAAGUACAGCUGAAACUGUUGUGCUUAUGGAUUUGUAUUUGUAGGUAUACAUACAGACAAUAAAAUGCUGGUUGGAAUUGACUGGAGACUUCUGCUU
This is an RNA transcript of Panicum virgatum (switchgrass), 1513 nucleotides long. It is a transcript of the gene named nudix hydrolase 2-like, with no coding region annotated. The record is from RefSeq and is a predicted model, not a curated record. Lineage: Eukaryota; Viridiplantae; Streptophyta; Magnoliopsida; Poales; Poaceae. The transcript is spliced from 9 exons.